RNAcentral lists this transfer RNA (72 nucleotides) under Candidatus Woesearchaeota archaeon. RNAcentral's name for it is "tRNA-Arg". It matches the Rfam family "tRNA". From Rfam's summary of the family: Transfer RNA (tRNA) molecules are approximately 80 nucleotides in length. The record is from RNAcentral. Lineage: Archaea; Nanobdellati; Candidatus Woesearchaeota.
GCCCCUGUAGGCUAACGGAUAGACUUCAAGCUUGCGGAGCUUGAGACCGGGGUUCAAUUCCCCGCAGGGGCA